CUGAUUUACAAUUAUAUUUAUAUAUUUUCAUGUAUAUGACAAGGGUACAAAAACAUGAAUUUUUCCUGUCCUGAAAAUUCUUAGGGCAAUAAUUUAUUUCAGUAUUGAUUUAAAGAAAAAGAAAAAUAAACAUGAAAAUUUACGAAGAUCUAAAACAACCACUAUUUAUUGUAUGGCAAUUCACAGGGCCUUAGAAGUUACUGCUUGAUGCCCUUUGGGAUGUCUAGUUGAUGGUUCUUCAUCAUAUUGACCAACUACAGACAACUUACUUUAUUGUGAAAUGAUUUAAUUUGAAUUCGAAACCCUUGAAAAAAUAGCCUUUUGAGCCGACUGAAAAAAACAUGAUAUAUGUCAUACAAUACAUGUAAAAUAAAAACAUGUGACUUCCAAACCCUUUUUGAGCCACCUUUAUAAGCAUGAUACUUUUGAUACAUAUAUAUGCCAAUUCACAUGUCCAAAAAAAUCAGAAUUUUAAUUGUCUCCCUUAUUCUUAAUUAUCAUACAAAUUAUUCUUUAUUUUAAAUGUCAGCAACUUGGAGAAGGCAGCCAAUUUUUUACACAUUUCUAUUGUCUGGAAUCGAACUAGAUAAUUUU
RNAcentral lists this long non-coding RNA (594 nucleotides) under Mytilus galloprovincialis (Mediterranean mussel). Lineage: Eukaryota; Metazoa; Mollusca; Bivalvia; Mytilida; Mytilidae. The record is from RNAcentral.